Molecule: ribosomal RNA, 479 nt
Filed under: uncultured bacterium
Lineage: Bacteria
Description: partial 16S ribosomal RNA
Rfam family: Bacterial small subunit ribosomal RNA
Source: RNAcentral
GAUGAACGCUGGCGGCGUGCUUAACACAUGCAAGUCGAGCGAGAAGUUUUGAAAAGAUUCUUCGGAUGAAAUUUAAAAUGGAAGGCGGCGGACGGGUGAGUAACGCGUAGGCAACCUGCCCCAUACAAAGGGAUAGCAUUUGGAAACGAAUAUUAAUACCUUAUGAAACUUAACUAGUGCAUGCUAGGUAGGUCAAAGAUUUAUCGGUAUGGGAUGGGCCUGCGUCUGAUUAGCUAGUUGGUGAGGUAACGGCUCACCAAGGCGACGAUCAGUAGCCGACCUGAGAGGGUGAACGGCCACAUUGGAACUGAGACACGGUCCAAACUCCUACGGGAGGCAGCAGUGGGGAAUAUUGCACAAUGGGGGAAACCCUGAUGCAGCAACGCCUCGUGAACGAUGAAGGCCUUUGGGUCGUAAAGUUCUGUUCUAGGUGAUGAAAACUGACAGUAACCUAGGAGAAAGCCCCGGCUAACUCCGUG